CUGUGCCAGUGUGUCAGACACCAGAGGGAGAGAGGAAAACAGCCAAUACAAAAGGGAAUGAUCCCUGGCUCAAGAUGAGAAGGAAGGAGAGCUCUCUAUGUUCGUAGUCCAGCCAUAUAGGAUGCUUGGCCAAAAUGAAGGUAUAGAAAAGGAACAACCAAAGAAAGAACAGGACAUACUGGAUCUUUCUGGGUAUCAUCAAACUUCUCCAUCCAAGAAUAAGGGACAGCAGCAUCUCUUUGACAUCCAUAGCCCAUUUCUGCUUUGCCAAUAUCACUUGUGCAUCUGGGGCCACCAAUGCAUCCUAUCCUAGCAAGUAUCAAUGGGAAUAAAGAAGAAACUUAGAAAACGACAAAAUUCAAGAAGAGCUGAAGCUCUGGAGCUAGCUUUGGUGGAGAAAGAAUGAUGCGGGAUGUUGGACUAAGCGAGAAAUGCAUAAGAAGCUGGAAACCAGAAAGCAAGGAGACCCACUAACAUGGCCUACUCUGGUCGGCCUCUGGGCACAAAGGAGGGUGAAGAAAGGAUGGGAGCAGACAUGGAGGCACCAAUGGAAAGUACCAGAACACUUAAAAAAUUGAACUUUUAUGUUAUUACUCAAUGUUACUUUUAUAUUAUUAAUCAGUAUUUACUGAGCCCAACCCCUAUGAUAGUUCUACAAUGUAUUACUCUUAAAAUCUAAGCUAGACCUGAAAUCCUAUAUUCUGUUUUAAGCUAUUACCUCUCAAUAGGAAAAGAGAGGUGUUGAGUGUCACCUUAAUCCUUCCUGAGAUAAACAUUCAAAUCAAUCUCUCUACAGAUUGCCCAUAACCUUGUUCUUGUCUGUAUUAAUACAUUCCUGUUGUCUGUCUUUAUUUCUGUUUACACUAUGUAAAUGUUAUAGAAUCAUCAAACUUUAGAAAUAGAUUUGAGAUAACAGAUUAAAUUAGGGAUACCAACUACUCUUUCAUUCCACAGAUAUUUACUGAGCCUGGAUUUUAUCAUCCAUGCCAACUAUAAGUGAUGAGUAGUGGCGACCUACAGCAUUGCACUGAGAGAAACUGAAAGCUGUACUCAUACAAGCUAGGAAACUGACUAUUCCAGCUGAGGGAAAGGAAGAGUGAACCCACAUACCAGAAACCUACUUUAUCUCGCCAAACACAAAUAUGGGAUGCCUAGUUAAGUUUGAA
Molecule: long non-coding RNA, 1166 nt
Filed under: Homo sapiens (human)
Lineage: Eukaryota; Metazoa; Chordata; Mammalia; Primates; Hominidae
Description: HSALNT0386883
Source: RNAcentral